Molecule: ribosomal RNA, 274 nt
Filed under: uncultured bacterium
Lineage: Bacteria
Description: partial 16S ribosomal RNA
Rfam family: Bacterial small subunit ribosomal RNA
Source: RNAcentral
AUACGGAGGGUGCAAGCGUUAUUCGGAAUCACUGGUCGUAAAGGACGCGUAGGCGGGUUGGCAAGUCAGAUGUGAAAUCCUACAGCUUAACUGUAGAACUGCAUUUGAAACUGCUAACCUAGAGUAUGGGAGGGGGAGAUGGAAUUAGUGGUGUAGGGGUAAAAUCCGUAGAUAUCACUAGGAAUACCGAAAGCGAAGGCGAUCUCCUGGAACAUAACUGACGCUAAGGCGUGAAAGCGUGGGGAGCAAACAGGAUUAGAUACCCUAGUAGUCC